This 402-nucleotide ribosomal RNA is filed under the name uncultured Glomeromycotina. Its description in RNAcentral is "SSU rRNA". It matches the Rfam family "Eukaryotic small subunit ribosomal RNA", at positions 569 to 978 of the family's 1831-position model. Lineage: Eukaryota; Fungi; Glomeromycota. The record is from RNAcentral.
AGCAGCCGCGGUAAUUCCAGCUCCAAUAGCGUAUAUUAAGGUUGUUGCAGUUAAAAGCUCGUAGUUGAAUUUCGGGAUCAGCGCGUCGGUCGUGCCUCCGGUAUGCACUGGCGCCGCUGGUUUCUCCCUUCUGAGGAACCGUGAUGUCAUUAAUUUGGUGUUGCGGGAAAUCAGGACUGUUACUUUGAAAAAUUGAGUGUUUAAAGCGGGCACGCGCUUGAAUACAUUAGCAUGGAAUAACGAAAUAGGACGUUCGAUCUUAUUUGUUGGUUUCUAGGAUUGACGUAAUGAUUAAUAGGGAUAGUUGGGGGCAUUAGUAUUCAAUUGUCAGAGGUGAAAUUCUUGGAUUUAUUGAAGACUAACUACUGCGAAAGCAUUUGCCAAGGUAUGUUUUCAUUAAUC